RNAcentral lists this long non-coding RNA (1298 nucleotides) under Numida meleagris (helmeted guineafowl). RNAcentral's name for it is "lncRNA (ENSNMEG00000003865.1)". Lineage: Eukaryota; Metazoa; Chordata; Aves; Galliformes; Numididae. The record is from RNAcentral.
GCAGUGCCCUGCUGAAGGAAAGUAGAUUGAAACCUUCAGAUCGCGGCGUUAUCUCAACUCCUUCGUUUCAGCCCUGAUAACGGGCGGUGAUAACGCCGUGCGACAGCUGACGGAAUCAGGACGUGCGCACGUGAUAAGAGCGUGGCUGGGAAAUAGAUCAGAUUUAUUGCACCCUGGGGUGGGGGGGGGGGGAGGAAGGGCAGGAGGUUGGGCCACGGUUGUGGCCGUGGUCAUGGUCACGGUCAAGGAUGUGGAGUUUCGUGGUCACAGAUGUGAAGAUUCGUGAUAAAAUCACGUAUGGAAGGUCAUGGUCAUGGUUAUGGGCAUGGAUGGAGAGCUGCAUGGUCAUGGUUAUGGUCAUGGAUGUAGAGCUGCAUGGUUGUGGUCAUGGUCAUGGAUGUAAAGCUGAUGGUCGUGGUUAUGGUUGUGGUCAUGGAUGUAGAGCUGAUGGUCAUGGUUAUGGGCAUGGAUGCAGAGCUGAUGGUCAUGGUUAUGGUUGUGGUCAUGGAUGCAGAGCUGAUGGUCGUGGUUAUGGUUGUGGUCAUGGAUGUAGAGCUGAUGGUGAUGGUCAUGGUCAUGGAUGCAGAGCUGAUGGUCGUGGUCAUGGUUGUAGUCAUGGAUGUAGAGCUGAUGGUCACGGUCACGGUCAUGGUCAUGGUCAUGGUUGUAGAGCUGAUGGUCAUGGUUAUGGUUAUGGGCAUGGAUGUAGAGCUGAUGGUCAUGGUCAUGGUUAUGGUUGUAGAGCUGCAUGGUCAUGGUUAUGGUUGUGGUCAUGGGUGCAGAGCUGCAUGGUUAUGGUUAUGGGCAUGGAUGUAAAACUGAUGGUUAUGGUCGUGGUUAUGGUUAUGGGCAUGGAUGCAGAGCUGAUGGUCAUGGUUAUGGUUGUGGUCAUGGAUGUAGAGCUGAUGGUCGUGGUUAUGGUUGUGGUCAUGGAUGCAGAGCUGCAUGGUCAUGGUUAUGGUCAUGGAUGUAAAGCUGAUGGUUGUGGUUAUGGUUGUGGUCAUGGAUGUAGAGCUGCGUGGUCACGGUCAUGGUCAUGGUUAUGGUCAUGGAUGUAGAGCUUCACUGGCUCCCUGGGCUGCAUGAAAAGAGGAGUGGGCAGCAGGGAGAGGGAGGUGGUGGUCCCCCUCUACUCGGCUCUUUUGAGGCCCCAUCUGCAGCACUGCGUCCAGGCCUGGGGCCCCCAGCACAAGAAAGACGCGAAGCUCUUGGAACGAGUUCAGAGGAGGGCGACCAAGAUGAUCAGAGGCUGGAGCACCUCUCCUAUGAGGAAAGGUUGAGGGAACUGGGCUUGUUUA